AUUGAACGCUGGCGGCAUGCCUUACACAUGCAAGUCGAACGGCAGCACGGGGGCAACCCUGGUGGCGAGUGGCGAACGGGUGAGUAAUAUAUCGGAACGUACCCUGGAGUGGGGGAUAACGUAGCGAAAGUUACGCUAAUACCGCAUACGAUCUAAGGAUGAAAGUGGGGGAUCGCAAGACCUCAUGCUCCUGGAGCGGCCGAUAUCUGAUUAGCUAGUUGGUGGGGUAAAGGCCUACCAAGGCAUCGAUCAGUAGCUGGUCUGAGAGGACGACCAGCCACACUGGGACUGAGACACGGCCCAGACUCCUACGGGAGGCAGCAGUGGGGAAUUUUGGACAAUGGGGGGCAACCCUGAUCCAGCAAUGCCGCGUGAGUGAAGAAGGCCUUCGG
RNAcentral lists this ribosomal RNA (392 nucleotides) under uncultured bacterium. RNAcentral's name for it is "bacterial SSU rRNA". It matches the Rfam family "Bacterial small subunit ribosomal RNA", at positions 30 to 421 of the family's 1533-position model. The record is from RNAcentral.